GACGAACGCUGGCGGCGUGCUUAACACAUGCAAGUCGAACGAUGAAGCCCAGCUUGCUGGGUGGAUUAGUGGCGAACGGGUGAGUAACACGUGAGUAACCUGCCCUUGACUCUGGGAUAAGCGUUGGAAACGACGUCUAAUACCGGAUACGAGCUUCCACCGCAUGGUGAGUUGCUGGAAAGAAUUUUGGUCAAGGAUGGACUCGCGGCCUAUCAGCUUGUUGGUGAGGUAACGGCUCACCAAGGCGACGACGGGUAGCCGGCCUGAGAGGGUGACCGGCCACACUGGGACUGAGACACGGCCCAGACUCCUACGGGAGGCAGCAGUGGGGAAUAUUGCACAAUGGGCGAAAGCCUGAUGCAGCAACGCCGCGUGAGGGACGACGGCCUUCGGGUUGUAAACCUCUUUUAGCAGGGAAGAAGCGAAAGUGACGGUACCUGCAGAAAAAGCACCGGCUAACUACGUGCCAGCAGCCGCGGUAAUACGUAGGGUGCAAGCGUUGUCCGGAAUUAUUGGGCGUAAAGAGCUCGUAGGCGGUUUGUCGCGUCUGCUGUGAAAUCCCGAGGCUCAACCUCGGGUCUGCAGUGGGUACGGGCAGACUAGAGUGCGGUAGGGGAGAUUGGAAUUCCUGGUGUAGCGGUGGAAUGCGCAGAUAUCAGGAGGAACACCGAUGGCGAAGGCAGAUCUCUGGGCCGCUACUGACGCUGAGGAGCGAAAGGGUGGGGAGCAAACAGGCUUAGAUACCCUGGUAGUCCACCCCGUAAACGUUGGGCGCUAGAUGUGGGGACCAUUCCACGGUUUCCGUGUCGUAGCUAACGCAUUAAGCGCCCCGCCUGGGGAGUACGGCCGCAAGGCUAAAACUCAAAGGAAUUGACGGGGGCCCGCACAAGCGGCGGAGCAUGCGGAUUAAUUCGAUGCAACGCGAAGAACCCUACCAAGGCUUGACAUAUACGAGAACGGGCCAGAAAUGGUCAACUCUUUGGACACUCGUAAACAGGUGGUGCAUGGUUGUCGUCAGCUCGUGUCGUGAGAUGUUGGGUUAAGUCCCGCAACGAGCGCAACCCUCGUUCUAUGUUGCCAGCACGUCAUGGUGGGAACUCAUGGGAUACUGCCGGGGUCAACUCGGAGGAAGGUGGGGACGACGUCAAAUCAUCAUGCCCCUUAUGUCUUGGGCUUCACGCAUGCUACAAUGGCCAGUACAAAGGGCUGCAAUACCGUAAGGUGGAGCGAAUCCCAAAAAGCUGGUCCCAGUUCGGAUUGAGGUCUGCAACUCGACCUCAUGAAGUCGGAGUCGCUAGUAAUCGCAGAUCAGCAACGCUGCGGUGAAUACGUUCCCGGGCCU
This 1342-nucleotide ribosomal RNA is filed under the name uncultured bacterium. RNAcentral's name for it is "bacterial SSU rRNA". It matches the Rfam family "Bacterial small subunit ribosomal RNA", at positions 28 to 1381 of the family's 1533-position model. The record is from RNAcentral.